This 427-nucleotide ribosomal RNA is filed under the name uncultured bacterium. RNAcentral's name for it is "partial 16S ribosomal RNA". It matches the Rfam family "Bacterial small subunit ribosomal RNA", at positions 355 to 774 of the family's 1533-position model. The record is from RNAcentral.
UGGGGAAUAUUGCACAAUGGGCGCAAGCCUGAUGCAGCCAUGCCGCGUGUAUGAAGAAGGCCUUCGGGUUGUAAAGUACUUUCAGCGGGGAGGAAGGCGAUAAGGUUAAUAACCUUGUCGAUUGACGUUACCCGCAGAAGAAGCACCGGCUAACUCCGUGCCAGCAGCCGCGGUAAUACGGAGGGUGCAAGCGUUAAUCGGAAUUACUGGGCGUAAAGCGCACGCAGGCGGUCUGUCAAGUCGGAUGUGAAAUCCCCGGGCUCACCCUGGGAACUGCAUUCGAAACUGGCAGGCUAGAGUCUUGUAGAGGGGGGUAGAAUUCCAGGUGUAGCGGUGAAAUGCGUAGAGAUCUGGAGGAAUACCGGUGGCGAAGGCGGCCCCCUGGACAAAGACUGACGCUCAGGUGCGAAAGCGUGGGGAGCAAACA